Long non-coding RNA from Nyctereutes procyonoides (raccoon dog), 525 nucleotides. RefSeq lists it as uncharacterized. The transcript has 3 exons. Lineage: Eukaryota; Metazoa; Chordata; Mammalia; Carnivora; Canidae. The record is from RefSeq and is a predicted model, not a curated record.
AUCUGCCCCAGACCUUUACUGGCAGUCCAUGAGCUUGACUCCAACACUGGCAUCUUCUCAUCAACCUGUGGUGUGACCUCAUGAGGUGAAGCAGCCCGCUCUUUCUGGCAGCUUAUCCAACAUCUUGGGCCCCUGAGCAGCCACUCCUGAUGAAUGCUCUGCCAGGAAAGAUUUAGUGGCCUUGAUGUCAGAAAACCUGGCUUUCAAUUCAACUCCUCCAUCUACAUGCUCUAUUGUGACAAGUCAUCUCACCAAACUGGACUCUCAGUUUCCUCAUCUGCAUCAUGGGAAGGUGAAAAGGUCUCAUCUUUAUGGGUUGCUGGGAGGAUAAAAUAACAUAACAUAAAUAUAAAUAAACUGCUUGACAUAUAAUAAGUUUGUGUUCCCUUCUCUAAAACUAGGAUUCCAAGCCUUUAUUUCCAGAAUGGGAAAUAUGAACCAUACCACCUUCAAUGCUAUACAUGGGAAGACCAUGGCUCUGACAAUUCUGGCAGAGAACAAGCAGCACGCUAAAUGGAUUUUGGC